RNAcentral lists this non-coding RNA (30 nucleotides) under Mus musculus (house mouse). Lineage: Eukaryota; Metazoa; Chordata; Mammalia; Rodentia; Muridae. The record is from RNAcentral.
UAUACCGUGGGCUAUGCUAGCUGUGAAAGA